Molecule: ribosomal RNA, 465 nt
Filed under: uncultured bacterium
Lineage: Bacteria
Description: partial 16S ribosomal RNA
Rfam family: Bacterial small subunit ribosomal RNA
Source: RNAcentral
GACGAACGCUGGCGGCGUGCUUAACACAUGCAAGUCGUACGGUAAGGCCCUUUCGGGGGUACACGAGUGGCGAACGGGUGAGUAACACGUGAGUAACCUGCCCACAACUUUGGGAUAACGCUGGGAAACUGGUGCUAAUACUGGAUAUGUGCUCCUGCUGCAUGGUGGGGGUUGGAAAGCUCCGGCGGUUGUGGAUGGACUCGCGGCCUAUCAGCUUGUUGGUGGGGUAGUGGCCUACCAAGGCGGCGACGGGUAGCCGGCCUGAGAGGGUGACCGGCCACAUUGGGACUGAGAUACGGCCCAGACUCCUACGGGAGGCAGCAGUGGGGAAUAUUGCACAAUGGGCGCAAGCCUGAUGCAGCAACGCCGCGUGCGGGAUGACGGCCUUCGGGUUGUAAACCGCUUUCAGCAGGGACGAAGCUUUUUGUGACGGUACCUGCAGAAGAAGCACCGGCUAACUACGUG